This 578-nucleotide small RNA is filed under the name Pongo abelii (Sumatran orangutan). RNAcentral's name for it is "retained intron". The record is from RNAcentral. Lineage: Eukaryota; Metazoa; Chordata; Mammalia; Primates; Hominidae.
ACCAAGAGCCGCCGCCCGCAGCCCGCGCCGGCUCAGCGCAGUCUCCUCGCUCGGUGCUCGCAGGUGCCUCCUCCUGGACGGCGGCAGCGGCGGCGCGAGGAGCCGGCAGGCAGCGGCGCGAUGGGGCCCCUCCGCGAGAGCAAGAAGGAGCACAGAGUGCAGCAUCAUGACAAGGAGAUUUCUCGAAGCCGAAUUCCCCGGUUGAUUCUUCGGCCCCAUAUGCCCCAACAACAGCACAAAGUGUCCCCAGCCUCUGAGUCUCCUUUCUCUGAGGAAGAGAGCAGAGAGUUCAACCCCAGCAGCUCUGGGCGCUCAGCGAGGACCGUUAGCAGCAACAGCUUCUGCUCAGAUGACACAGGCUGUCCUAGCAGCCAGUCAGUGUCUCCUGUGAAGACACCCUCAGACGCUGGAAACAGUCCCAUUGGCUUUUGCCCUGGAAGUGAUGAAGACUUCACCAGAAAGAAAUGCACGAUUGGAAUGGUUGGUGAAGGAAGCAUUCAGUCCUCUCGAUAUAAGAAGGAAUCAAAGUCAGGCCUUGUGAAACCAGGUCAGUGAACUUACUCGUCAUGUUUUCAUCA